UCGGGAAUUUUGGGCAAUGGGCGAAAGCCUGACCCAGCAACGCCGCGUGAGGGAUGAAGUAUUUCGGUAUGUAAACCUCGAAAGAAUGGGAAGAAUAAAUGACGGUACCAUUUAUAAGCUCCGGCUAACUACGUGCCAGCAGCCGCGGUAAUACGUAGGGAGCAAGCGUUGUUCGGAUUUACUGGGCGUAAAGGGCGCGUAGGCGGCGCGGUAAGUCACUUGUGAAAUCUCUGAGCUUAACUCAGAACGGCCAAGUGAUACUGCUGUGCUAGAGUGCGGAAGAGGCAACCGGAAUUCUUGGUGUAGCGGUGAAAGGCGUAGAUAUCAAGGGGAACACCUGAGGCGAAGGCGGGUUGCUGGGCCGACACUGACGCUGAUGCGCGAAAGCCAGGGGAGCAAAC
Molecule: ribosomal RNA, 401 nt
Filed under: uncultured bacterium
Lineage: Bacteria
Description: bacterial SSU rRNA
Rfam family: Bacterial small subunit ribosomal RNA
Source: RNAcentral